RNAcentral lists this ribosomal RNA (1375 nucleotides) under uncultured Gammaproteobacteria bacterium. RNAcentral's name for it is "bacterial SSU rRNA". It matches the Rfam family "Bacterial small subunit ribosomal RNA", at positions 29 to 1393 of the family's 1533-position model. The record is from RNAcentral. Lineage: Bacteria; Pseudomonadati; Pseudomonadota; Gammaproteobacteria.
UUGAACGCUGGCGGCAGGCCUAACACAUGCAAGUCGAACGGUAACAGGAAGAAGCUUGCUUCUUUGCUGACGAGUGGCGGACGGGUGAGUAAUGUCUGGGAAACUGCCUGAUGGAGGGGGAUAACUACUGGAAACGGUAGCUAAUACCGCAUAACGUCGCAAGACCAAAGAGGGGGACCUUAGGGCCUCUUGCCAUCGGAUGUGCCCAGAUGGGAUUAGCUAGUAGGUGGGGUAAAGGCUCACCUAGGCGACGAUCCCUAGCUGGUCUGAGAGGAUGACCAGCCACACUGGAACUGAGACACGGUCCAGACUCCUACGGGAGGCAGCAGUGGGGAAUAUUGCACAAUGGGCGCAAGCCUGAUGCAGCCAUGCCGCGUGUAUGAAGAAGGCCUUCGGGUUGUAAAGUACUUUCAGCGGGGAGGAAGGUGUUGUGGUUAAUAACCACAGCAAUUGACGUUACCCGCAGAAGAAGCACCGGCUAACUCCGUGCCAGCAGCCGCGGUAAUACGGAGGGUGCAAGCGUUAAUCGGAAUUACUGGGCGUAAAGCGCACGCAGGCGGUCUGUCAAGUCGGAUGUGAAAUCCCCGGGCUCAACCCUGGGAACUGCAUUCGAAACUGGCAGGCUUGAGUCUCGUAGAGGGGGGUAGAAUUCCAGGUGUAGCGGUGAAAUGCGUAGAGAUCUGGAGGAAUACCGGUGGCGAAGGCGGCCCCCUGGACGAAGACUGACGCUCAGGUGCGAAAGCGUGGGGAGCAAACAGGAUUAGAUACCCUGGUAGUCCACGCCGUAAACGAUGUCUAUUUGGAGGUUGUGCCCUUGAGGUGUGGCUUCCGGAGCUAACGCGUUAAAUAGACCGCCUGGGGAGUACGGCCGCAAGGUUAAAACUCAAAUGAAUUGACGGGGGCCCGCACAAGCGGUGGAGCAUGUGGUUUAAUUCGAUGCAACGCGAAGAACCUUACCUGGUCUUGACAUCCACAGAACUUUCCAGAGAUGGAGGGGUGCCUUCGGGAACUGUGAGACAGGUGCUGCAUGGCUGUCGUCAGCUCGUGUUGUGAAAUGUUGGGUUAAGUCCCGCAACGAGCGCAACCCUUAUCCUUUGUUGCCAGCGGUUAGGCCGGGAACUCAAAGGAGACUGCCAGUGAUAAACUGGAGGAAGGUGGGGAUGACGUCAAGCCAUCAUGGCCCUUACGACCAGGGCUACACACGUGCUACAAUGGCGCAUACAAAGAGAAGCGAACUCGCGAGAGCAAGCGGACCUCAUAAAGUGCGUCGUAGUCCGGACUGGAGUCUGCAACUCGACUCCAUGAAGUCGGAAUCGCUAGUAAUCGUGGAUCAGAAUGCCACGGUGAAUACGUUCCCGGGCCUUGUACUCACCGC